Molecule: ribosomal RNA, 467 nt
Filed under: uncultured bacterium
Lineage: Bacteria
Description: partial 16S ribosomal RNA
Rfam family: Bacterial small subunit ribosomal RNA
Source: RNAcentral
GACGAACGCUGGCGGCGUGCUUAACACAUGCAAGUCGAACGGAAAGGCCCUGCUUUUGUGGGGUGCUCGAGUGGCGAACGGGUGAGUAACACGUGAGUAACCUGCCCUUGACUUUGGGAUAACUUCAGGAAACUGGGGCUAAUACCGGAUAGGAGCUCCUGCUGCAUGGUGGGGGUUGGAAAGUUUCGGCGGUUGGGGAUGGACUCGCGGCUUAUCAGCUUGUUGGUGGGGUAGUGGCUUACCAAGGCUUUGACGGGUAGCCGGCCUGAGAGGGUGACCGGCAACAUUGGGACUGAGAUACGGCCCAGACUCCUACGGGAGGCAGCAGUGGGGAAUAUUGCACAAUGGGCGGAAGCCUGAUGCAGCAACGCCGCGUGCGGGAUGAGGGCCUUCGGGUUGUAAACCGCUUUCGCCUGUGACGAAGCGUGAGUGACGGUAAUGGGUAAAGAAGCACCGGCUAACUACGU